Molecule: long non-coding RNA, 630 nt
Organism: Pseudophryne corroboree (corroboree frog)
Lineage: Eukaryota; Metazoa; Chordata; Amphibia; Anura; Myobatrachidae
Exons: 4
Source: RefSeq, a predicted model, not a curated record
GGACGUCUCGACCGGGAUCCGGGCGGCGUGGACUCCACGAGUGGGAGGAGUGCCUCCUGAAGUUAAGUAACCAUGGCGAUCUCCCCCUCACUGGCAACACGUCAGCUGGACGGACCGGCAUUACGUCACUUCCGGAAGUGAGGGACGUCUCGACCGGGAUCCGGGCGGCGUGGACUCCACGAGUGGGAGGAGUGCCUCCUGAAGUUAAGAAAGUGGUGGAAUGAAAUGGACAAACUCCAGGAGGUUCAAGAAAAGUCCCCUGUUAAAUGGGUUGUAAAACUUUCCCCUCUCAUCCAUAAGAAUGCCGGUGAAGGCGCCACACCAUCGCGCACAGCAUUCUGAGAGUGGACGCAGAAGACCGAGGAGCAGGGAAGAUCAAGGAGCAGCAGCAGCCCUAUCGGCGGCGUGUGGUGACCGAGGAGCGGAGAAGAUCGAGGAACAGCAGCAGCCCCAGCAAUGGCGCCCACCCGCCCACAAGCACUGCCAGGUGUUCAGCCUGAGCCCCUGGUACUGAGGAGCAGUCCUACCGGCCUCCACCAAUGCAGUGCGGGAUCCUGGACCCAGCAACAGCACAGCUCAGAGCCAGCUUCAGCACUGCAGGGAGAGUGUGCCCCCCCACCCCCUCCCCGG